CAGUGUAGCGCGCGUGCAGCCCUGGACAUCUAAGGGCAUCACAGACCUGUUAUUGCUCAACUUCAUGCGGCUAAACACCGCUUGUCCCUCUAAGAAGUUGUCUGGACGAUAAAAUUAUCCAGUAACUAUUUAGUAGGCUAGAGUCUCGCUCGUUAUCGGAAUAAACCAGACAAAUCACUCCACCAACUAAGAACGGCCAUGCACCACCAACCACCGAAUCCAUGAAAKAGCUCUCAAUCUGUCAAUCCUCCACG
Molecule: ribosomal RNA, 254 nt
Filed under: Brugia malayi
Lineage: Eukaryota; Metazoa; Nematoda; Chromadorea; Rhabditida; Onchocercidae
Description: partial 18S ribosomal RNA
Source: RNAcentral